RNAcentral lists this ribosomal RNA (489 nucleotides) under uncultured bacterium. RNAcentral describes it as "bacterial SSU rRNA". It matches the Rfam family "Bacterial small subunit ribosomal RNA", at positions 28 to 517 of the family's 1533-position model. The record is from RNAcentral.
GAUGAACGCUAGCGGCAAGCUUAACACAUGCAAGUCGAGGGGUAGAGGUUGCUUGCAACCUUGAGACCGGCGCACGGGUGCGUAACGCGUAUGCAACCUACCUUUUACAGAGGGAUAGCCCAGAGAAAUUUGGAUUAAUACCUCAUAGUAUAUAACAUUCGCAUGUUUGUUAUAUUAAAGCUUCGGCGGUAGUGGAUGAGCGUGCGGUUGAUUAGAUAGUUGGCGGGGUAACGGCCCACCAAGUCUACGAUCAAUAGCUGAUGUGAGAGCAUGAUCAGCCACACGGGCACUGAGACACGGGCCCGACUCCUACGGGAGGCAGCAGUAAGGAAUAUUGGACAAUGGACGCAAGUCUGAUCCAGCCAUGCCGCGUGAAGGAUUAAGGUCCUCUGGAUUGUAAACUUCUUUAUAAGGGACGAAAAAAGGUCUUUCUAGAUCGUCUGACGGUACCUUAUGAAUAAGCACCGGCUAACUCCGUGCCAGCAGCCG